This 352-nucleotide ribosomal RNA is filed under the name uncultured bacterium. RNAcentral's name for it is "bacterial SSU rRNA". It matches the Rfam family "Bacterial small subunit ribosomal RNA", at positions 917 to 1293 of the family's 1533-position model. The record is from RNAcentral.
GGGCCCGCACAAGCGGUGGAGCAUGUGGUUUAAUUCGAUGAUACGCGAGGAACCUUACCAGGGCUUAAAUGUAAGUUGCAUAGAUCAGAGAUGGUCUUUUCUUCGGACUACUUACAAGGUGCUGCAUGGUUGUCGUCAGCUCGUGCCGUGAGGUGUCAGGUUAAGUCCUAUAACGAGCGCAACCCCUGUCGUUAGUUGCCAGCAAGUUAAGUUGGGCACUCUAGCGAGACUGCCAGUGCAAACUGUGAGGAAGGUGGGGAUGACGUCAAAUCAUCACGGCCCUUACGUCCUGGGCUACACACGUGCUACAAUGGCAGUGACAAUGGGUUAAUCCCAAAAAGCUGUCUCAGUU